Ornithorhynchus anatinus (platypus) is the source of this 117-nucleotide non-coding RNA. RefSeq annotates it as microRNA mir-1421d. Lineage: Eukaryota; Metazoa; Chordata; Mammalia; Monotremata; Ornithorhynchidae. The record is from RefSeq and is marked provisional. The transcript has a single exon.
CCAUUGGUUCCAUGCAGCACGGUGUCUGGAAGUCGCACGUCAUGCCGUGUGAAGGUGGAAUAUGCAGCAUAGCGUGUGACCCCCGUACACAGCGCUGCGUCUCCAGCCAGCCAUAGG